This 97-nucleotide transfer RNA is filed under the name Deltaproteobacteria bacterium. RNAcentral's name for it is "tRNA-Sec". It matches the Rfam family "Selenocysteine transfer RNA". The record is from RNAcentral. Lineage: Bacteria; Pseudomonadati; Myxococcota; Myxococcia.
GGGGAUAUAUGGGUUCUGGUGAGCUCCUUGGUCUUCAAAACCAAUGCUGGCGGCUGACCGUCGCCUAGGUAGGUUCGAUUCCUACAUAUUCCCGCCA